Mustela putorius furo (domestic ferret) is the source of this 107-nucleotide small nuclear RNA. NCBI's taxonomy places the organism in Eukaryota, Metazoa, Chordata, Mammalia, Carnivora, Mustelidae. The record is from Ensembl.
GGGCUCACGUCUACAGCACAUACACUAAAAUUGGAACAAGACAGAGAAGAGUGGCACAGCCCCUGUGCAAAGAUGACACGCACAUUCGUGACGCAUUCCAUAUGCAA